Molecule: ribosomal RNA, 380 nt
Filed under: uncultured eukaryote
Lineage: Eukaryota
Description: partial 18S ribosomal RNA
Rfam family: Eukaryotic small subunit ribosomal RNA
Source: RNAcentral
CAAUAGCGUAUAUUAAAGUUGUUGCAGUUAAAAAGCUCGUAGUUGGAUUUGUGGCUGUCCUGAGCGGCUUGACACAAUGUGUUAUUGCUUGCUCGGGUCGCCAUCCUUGGGUGGAACCUGUGUGGCAUUAGGUUGUCGUGCAGGGGAUGCCCAUCGUUUACUGUGAAAAAAUUAGAGUGUUCAAAGCAGGCUUAUGCCGUUGAAUAUAUUAGCAUGGAAUAAUAAGAUAGGACCUUGGUACUAUUUUGUUGGUUUGCGCACCAAGGUAAUGAUUAAUAGGGACAGUUGGGGGUAUUCGUAUUCCAUUGUCAGAGGUGAAAUUCUUGGAUUUUUGGAAGACGAACUACUGCGAAAGCAUUUACCAAGGAUGUUUUCAUUAA